ACUGCUCAUGUGAUUGUGGAGUAGACAGUUGGAAGAAGUACCCAGUCCAUUUGGAGAGUUAAAACUGUGCCUUACAGAGGUGUCCUCUGACUUUUCUUCUGCAAGCUCCAUGUUUUCACAUCUUCCCUUUGACUGUGUCCUGCUGCUGCUGCUGCUGCUACUUACAAGGUCCUCAGAAGUGAAAUACAUAGCGGAGGUGGGUCAGAAUGCCUAUCUGCCCUGCUUCUACACCCCAGCUGCCCCAGGGAACCUCGUGCCCGUCUGCUGGGGCAAAGGAGCCUGUCCUGUGUUUGAAUGUGGCAGCGUGGUGCUCAGGACUGAUGAAAGGGAUGUGAAUCAUCGGACGUCCAGCAGAUACUGGCUAAAUGGGGAUUUCCGCAAAGGAGAUGUGUCCCUGACCAUAGAGAAUGUGACUCUCGCAGACAGUGGGAUCUACUGCUGCCGGAUCCAAAUCCCAGGCAUAAUGAAUGAUGAAAAAUUUAACCUGAAGUUGGUCAUCAAACCAGGUGAGUGGACCUUUGCAUGCCUUCUUUAUGAAUAAGAUUUAUCUGUGGAUCAUAUUAAAGGUACUGAUUGUUCUCACCUCUGACUUCCCUAAUUAUAGCCCUGGAGGAGGGCUGCCAAGACCUAAAGUUUAACAGGCCCCAUCGGUGAUACUCAGUGAUACUUAACACCUUCUCUCUGUUUUAAAACUCAUGGGUGUGCCUGGGUGUGGUGGUUCACACCUCUAAUCCCAGCACUUUGGGAGGCUGAGGCCGGUGGAUCACAAGGUCAGGAAUUCGAGACCAGCCUGGCCAACAUAGUGAAACCUUGUCUCCACUAAAAAUACAAAAAAUUAGCCGGGCAUGGUGACGGGAGCCUGGAAUUCUAGCUACUCGGGGGGCUGAAGCAGGAGAAUCACUUGAACCUGGGAGUCAGAGGUUGCAGUAAGCCAAGAUCUCGCCAUUGUACUCCAGCCUGGCUGAUAAGAGUGAAACUCUGUCUCAAAAAAACCAGAAAA
RNAcentral lists this small RNA (1000 nucleotides) under Pongo abelii (Sumatran orangutan). RNAcentral's name for it is "retained intron". Lineage: Eukaryota; Metazoa; Chordata; Mammalia; Primates; Hominidae. The record is from RNAcentral.